This 186-nucleotide ribosomal RNA is filed under the name Falciformispora tompkinsii. RNAcentral describes it as "partial 28S ribosomal RNA". It matches the Rfam family "Eukaryotic large subunit ribosomal RNA", at positions 1 to 179 of the family's 3401-position model. Lineage: Eukaryota; Fungi; Ascomycota; Dothideomycetes; Pleosporales; Trematosphaeriaceae. The record is from RNAcentral.
GUUUGACCUCGAAUCAGGUAGGGAUACCCGCUGAACUUAAGCAUAUCAAUAAGCGGAGGAAAAGAAACCAACAGGGAUUGCCCUAGUAACGGCGAGUGAAGCGGCAACAGCUCAAAUUUGAAAUCUGGAUUCCUUUACUGGGUCCCGAGUUGUAAUUUGUAGAGGGUGCUUUGGUGUUGGCGGCGG